GGGAGCGAAAGCGGUACUCAAACCCAAAAAUCUAUAAAAUCAAAAAGUAGUGAGAAGUCUGAAAACAACAGCGGUAGCAAUGACGGGGAAGAUAAUGGGCGGUACGGCCUAAAUGUUGGUAAAGGCAGUGAGGAUGGAAGUGGCACACAGAAUUCCUGGACAAAGCAAGCUGUUGAAGCUGUUAGCUCUCAGGCAGUUUCUCCAUUGAAUCAGGUACCUGAGUGUCCAGACAGCACUUGUGCACAGGUUGUUAGCUCUCAGGCAGUUUCUCCAUUGAAUCAGGUACCUGAGUGUCCAGA
This 299-nucleotide unclassified non-coding RNA is filed under the name Hevea brasiliensis (rubber tree). The record is from RNAcentral. Lineage: Eukaryota; Viridiplantae; Streptophyta; Magnoliopsida; Malpighiales; Euphorbiaceae.